UAUUUAUGUCUAUAUUAUUGUCUAUAUAUGGCUCUUUUGCGUACGUUAUGCGGCUGAGCAUUAAUCUUUAUACUACGAUUGCGAUUCCCGCCUGGUUCAUCACUUGCAAGUGGUAGUAUUACAGUAAACGUGGCAAAUAGUUGCUAGACUACCUGAAGCACAUAGGCCUAGACAUAGAUUUUUGCCUUCUCACACACAACUGAGUAGGUCUUAAAAAGUGUGUAAAUUUCCGUUAGUCGAAUAUUCCUGUCCAUCUACUAACACUUAUUAAUAAUAACUGAAGCACUUAGUCUUAUAGUGAUAUGGAUAGCUAAGGGGCGGACCAUUAGAAAUCCCGGGAGGGGGGGGGGUAUAAAAUUUUUGCGGCACGAAUUUUUUUUUCAGUCUCGUGUCUCUGCAGGAAUUUUUUUUAAUGCAUUUAACCUCUGCACGAAUUUUUUUUCAAGACUAUUUGUACUUCGCUGUUUGCUUGCACGAAUUUUUUUUCUCUGACGUAAUGGCUGCACGAAUUUUUUUUCCAGGCAUUUUCCUUUGCACGAAUUUUUUUGGGGGAAUUUUUACCCCCCCUCCCGGGAUUUCUAUGGUCCGCCCCUAACUAGAAUGUCU
Molecule: non-coding RNA, 606 nt
Organism: Paramuricea clavata
Lineage: Eukaryota; Metazoa; Cnidaria; Anthozoa; Malacalcyonacea; Plexauridae
Source: the annotation of a GenBank genome assembly